Molecule: ribosomal RNA, 459 nt
Filed under: uncultured bacterium
Lineage: Bacteria
Description: partial 16S ribosomal RNA
Rfam family: Bacterial small subunit ribosomal RNA
Source: RNAcentral
CCUACGGGUGGCUGCAGUGAGGAAUAUUGGUCAAUGGGCGAGAGCCUGAACCAGCCAAGUCGCGUGAGGGAGUACUGCCCUAUGGGUUGUAAACCUCUUUUGUCGGGGAGCAAAAGCCUGACGUGUCCGGCUGUGAGAGUACCCGAAGAAAAAGCAUCGGCUACCUCCGUUCCAGCAGCCGCGGUAAUAAGGAGGAUGCGGGCGUUAUCCGUAUUUAUUGGGUUUAAAGGUUGCGUAGGUUGUUUUUUAAGUCAGCGGUGAAAGUUUGUGGCUCAACCAUCAAAUUUCCGUUGAAACUGGAAGAAUUGAGUGUGUUUGAGGUAGGCGGAAUGCGUGGGGUAGCGGUGAAAUGCAUAGAUAUCACGCAGAACUCCGAUUGCGAAGGCAGCUUACUAAGCCAUAACUGACACUGAAGCACGAAAGCGUGGGGAUCAAACAGGAUUAGAUACCCGGGUAGUC